RNAcentral lists this ribosomal RNA (253 nucleotides) under uncultured bacterium. Its description in RNAcentral is "partial 16S ribosomal RNA". It matches the Rfam family "Bacterial small subunit ribosomal RNA", at positions 524 to 776 of the family's 1533-position model. The record is from RNAcentral.
GACGGAGGCUUCCCUCGUUCUCCGUCCUUCUUGGGCGUAAAGCGUCCGUAGGCGGUUUCAAAAGUCUGUUGUUAAAGCCCACAGCUCAACUGUGGAUCGGCAAUGGAAACUGUGAGACUAGAGAGUGGUAGGGGUAGAGGGAAUUCCUAGUGUAGCGGUGAAAUGCGUAGAUAUUAGGAAGAACACCAGUGGCGAAGGCGCUCUACUGGGCCAUUACUGACGCUGAUGGACGAAAGCUAGGGGAGCGAAAGGG